CACAGAUGCUGGAAUGCACUGUGGCCGAAAGCUCCGGCGCCCAAGGAUGGGUCUGCGGCCUAUCAGGGUUGUAGUGGGUGUAACGGACCUACUAGCCUACGACGGGUACGGGUUGUGAGAGCAAGAGCCCGGAGAUGGAUUCUGAGACACGAAUCCAGGCCCUACGGGGUGCAGCAGGCGCGAAAACUUUACAAUGCGGGAAACCGUGAUAAGGGAAUCUCGAGUGCCAGCAUAUAAUGUUGGCUGUCCAGAUGCCUAAAAAGCAUCUGUUAGCAAGGGCCGGGCAAGACCGGUGCCAGCAGCCGCGGUAAUCCCCCCGUGCCCCCGCCCCGCCCGCCGG
Molecule: ribosomal RNA, 340 nt
Filed under: uncultured archaeon
Lineage: Archaea
Description: bacterial SSU rRNA
Rfam family: Archaeal small subunit ribosomal RNA
Source: RNAcentral